This 497-nucleotide ribosomal RNA is filed under the name uncultured bacterium. RNAcentral describes it as "partial 16S ribosomal RNA". It matches the Rfam family "Bacterial small subunit ribosomal RNA", at positions 28 to 507 of the family's 1533-position model. The record is from RNAcentral.
GAUGAACGCUGGCGGCGUGCCUAAUACAUGCAAGUCGAGCGAACAGACGAGGAGCUUGCUUCUCAGACGUUAGCGGCGGACGGGUGAGUAACACGUGGAUAACCUACCUAUAUGACUGGUAUAACUUCGGGAAACCGGAGCUAAUACCGGAUAAUAUAUUGAACCGCAUGGUUCAAUAGUGAAUGACGGUUUUGCUGUCACUUAUAGAUGUAUCCGCGUCGCAUUAGCUAGUUGGUAAGGUAACGGCUUACCAAGGCAACGAUGCGUAGCCGACUUGAGAGGGUGGUCGGCCACACUGGAACUUGGACACGGUCCAGACUCCUACGGGAGGCAGCAGAAGGGAAUCUUCCGCAAUGGGCGAAAGCCUGACAGAGCAACGCCGAGUGAGUGAUGAAGAUCUUCGGAUCGUGAAACUCUGUUAUUAGGGAAGAACAAAUGUGUAAGUAACUAUGCACGUCUUGACGGUACCUAAUCAGAAAGCCACGGCUAACUACGUG